This 504-nucleotide ribosomal RNA is filed under the name uncultured bacterium. RNAcentral describes it as "bacterial SSU rRNA". It matches the Rfam family "Bacterial small subunit ribosomal RNA", at positions 30 to 528 of the family's 1533-position model. The record is from RNAcentral.
AUUGAACGCUGGCGGAAUGCUUUACACAUGCAAGUCGAACGGUAGAGGGGGCAACCCCCUUGAGAGUGGCGAACGGGUGAGUAAUAUAUCGGAACGUGCCCAGUCGUGGGGAUAACGUAGCGAAAGUUACGCUAAUACCGCAUACGAUCUACGGAUGAAAGCGGGGGACUCGCAAGAGCCUCGCGCGAUUGGAGCGGCCGAUAUCAGAUUAGGUAGUUGGUGGGGUAAAGGCUCACCAAGCCAACGAUCUGUAGCUGGUCUGAGAGGACGACCAGCCACACUGGAACUGAGACACGGUCCAGACUCCUACGGGAGGCAGCAGUGGGGAAUUUUGGACAAUGGACGCAAGUCUGAUCCAGCCAUUCCGCGUGCAGGAUGAAGGCCCUCGGGUUGUAAACUGCUUUUGUACGGAACGAAAGGUUUCUAUUAAUACUAGGAGCUCAUGACGGUACCGUAAGAAUAAGCACCGGCUAACUACGUGCCAGCAGCCGCGGUAAAGUGACU